UACACUCCUACGGGAGGCAGCAGUGGGGAAUAUUGGACAAUGGGCGCAAGCCUGAUCCAGCCAUGCCGCGUGAGUGAUGAAGGCCCUAGGGUUGUAAAGCUCUUUCACCGGUGAAGAUAAUGACGGUAACCGGAGAAGAAGCCCCGGCUAACUUCGUGCCAGCAGCCGCGGUAAUACGAAGGGGGCUAGCGUUGUUCGGAUUUACUGGGCGUAAAGCGCACGUAGGCGGACUAUUAAGUCAGGGGUGAAAUCCCGGGGCUCAACCCCGGAACUGCCUUUGAUACUGGUAGUCUUGAGUUCGAGAGAGGUGAGUGGAAUUCCGAGGGUAGAGGUGAAAUUCGUAGAUAUUCGGAGGAACACCAGUGGCGAAGGCGGCUCACUGGCUCGAUACUGACGCUGAGGUGCGAAAGCGUGGGGAGCAAACAGGAUUAGAAACCCCUGUAGUCCCA
This 449-nucleotide ribosomal RNA is filed under the name uncultured organism. Its description in RNAcentral is "partial 16S ribosomal RNA". It matches the Rfam family "Bacterial small subunit ribosomal RNA", at positions 332 to 797 of the family's 1533-position model. The record is from RNAcentral.